This 443-nucleotide ribosomal RNA is filed under the name uncultured bacterium. RNAcentral's name for it is "partial 16S ribosomal RNA". It matches the Rfam family "Bacterial small subunit ribosomal RNA", at positions 338 to 795 of the family's 1533-position model. The record is from RNAcentral.
CCUACGGGUGGCAGCAGUGGGGGAUAUUGCACAAUGGGGGAAACCCUGAUGCAGCGACGCCGCGUGGGCGAAGAAGUAUUUCGGUAUGUAAAGCUCUAUCAGCAGGGAAGAAAGGAAUGACGGUACCUGACUAAGAAGCCCCGGCUAACUACGUGCCAGCAGCCGCGGUAAUACGUAGGGGGCAAGCGUUAUCCGGAUUUACUGGGUGUAAAGGGAGCGUAGACGGUUACGCAAGUCUGGAGUGAAAGGCGGGGGCCCAACCCCCGGACUGCUUUGGAAACUGUAUAACUGGAGUGCAGGAGAGGUAAGUGGAAUUCCUAGUGUAGCGGUGAAAUGCGUAGAUAUUAGGAGGAAUACCAGUGGCGAAGGCGGCUUACUGGACGGUAACUGACGUUGAGGCUCGAAAGCGUGGGGAGCAAACAGGAUUAGAUACCCGUGUAGUC